CCUACGAGCGGCAGCAGUGAGGCAUAUUGGUCAAUGGACGAGAGUCUGAACCAGCCAAGUAGCGUGAAGGAUGACUGCCCUAUGGGUUGUAAACUUCUUUUAUAUGGGAAUAAAAUGUUCCACGUGUGGGAUUUUGUAUGUACCAUCUGAAUAAGGAUCGGCUAACUCCGUGCCAGCAGCCGCGGUAAUACGGAGGAUCCGAGCGUUAUCCGGAUUUAGUGGGUUUAAAGGGAGCGUAGGUGGAUUGUUAAGUCAGUUGUGAAAUUUUGCGGCUCAACCGUAAAAUUGCAGUUGAAACUGGCAGUCUUGAGUACAGUAGAGGUGGGCGGAAUUCGUGGUGUAGCGGUGAAAUGCUUAGAUAUCACGAAGAACUCAGAUUGCGAAGGCAGUUCACUGGACUGCAACUGACACUGAGGCUCGAAAGUGUGGGUAUCAAACAGGAUUAGAUACCCCUGUAGUC
RNAcentral lists this ribosomal RNA (460 nucleotides) under uncultured bacterium. Its description in RNAcentral is "partial 16S ribosomal RNA". It matches the Rfam family "Bacterial small subunit ribosomal RNA", at positions 338 to 795 of the family's 1533-position model. The record is from RNAcentral.